CCAAUAGCGUAUAUUAAAGUUGUUGCAGUUAAAAAGCUCGUAGUUGAAUUUCGGGAUUGGCGUGUCGGUCGUGCCUUACGGGGUAUGAACUGGCGUCGUCGAUUUCUCACCUUCUGGAGAAUCACGAUGCCCUUAAUUGGGUGUCGUGUGGAACCAGGACCUUUACCUUGAAAAAAUUAGAGUGUUUAAAGCAGGCAUUUUGCUCGAAUACAUUAGCAUGGAAUAAUAAAAUAGGACGGCUUGGUUCUAUUUUGUUGGUUUCUAGGAUCACCGUAAUGAUUAAUAGGGAUAGUUGGGGGCAUUAGUAUUCAAUUGUCAGAGGUGAAAUUCUUGGAUUUAUUGAAGACUAACUACUGCGAAAGCAUUUGCCAAGGAUGUUUUCAUUAAUCAAGAACGAAAGUUAGGGGAUCGAAGACGAUCAGAUACCGUCGUAGUCUUAACCAUAAACUAUGCCGACUAGGAAUCAGACGAUGUUAAUUUUUUAAUGACUCGUUUGGCACCUUACG
RNAcentral lists this ribosomal RNA (506 nucleotides) under uncultured Glomeromycotina. RNAcentral describes it as "partial small subunit ribosomal RNA". It matches the Rfam family "Eukaryotic small subunit ribosomal RNA", at positions 591 to 1092 of the family's 1831-position model. The record is from RNAcentral. Lineage: Eukaryota; Fungi; Glomeromycota.